GGCCCUGGGAAGUGUGCGCUAGAGGGAACAGCCGGGCGGCCGAGGGCGGAGAGGCGGCGCGAAUGUGACCUCAGCGGCCGCCGCGCUCCCUCCCGCCCUCUCCCGCUCCGGGCUCGGGUUUCUAGGACUGCCUGGAGAAGUGUGUCUUGUGCACAGCUCUGGAAUGCAUUUGGCAGGCUGACGAGCAGCGAGGGGCAGCAUCCUGGAGGGAGGAGGGGUGCAGCUCGCCCGCGCGCCGCCGGCAGGUUUCCUCCCGGCCUGGAAGACCUCCGGCACCCGCCACUCGGCCUCCCGGCGCGCUAACCUUGCCCAGCCAGCAGACCUGCUUAGAGCAUCCAAUCGCAUGCGGGGCCUGCUUAGGGUCAGAGAGUUUAUUCCUUCACCAUAGGUUCCAGAGAAAGCUAUCCCCAGAUGCAAGUGAUUGCUAGGAAGUAGAAAAGGUAUUUGUCAAGCAAAAGUCCGUGGAGCAGGUCUGAGGAUAGUACUAGAGUGUUAAAUGUUACUGAGACAACUAGUUGGCAUGGUGAUCCAACCUGACAUAUUUAGUAGGUUUUUGAAAAGUUGCUUGAAAUUGUAACAUUAGGACAGUCAUGAAACUUACGGGGGGGGGGGGGGGUAAAAGAAUUUUUUUUUACCAGAUGUGGAAUAUAAUAUUUAUUUCUUGCCACUGGAAUGAUAUGUUCUGGAAAAGAUAAAUUAUAAAUACCCUUUCUUUCCAGUAACGUUUGUUUCUAACCUGAUAGAUAAUUGACACACAUUUAGAGGGCUGGGGGUAUAAUUCCUUAGAGACCCUGGAUUCAGUGACUAGCAACACUAACUAGGAAUCAUCAUUUUGAAUUAGGUUCUCUGACCAUUCCCCUUCCACACUAAACUCUUACAACUAGAAAAGAAAACCAACAAGUUCUAUCACAUGAUUCUCUCCCUAGGGAGCCCUACGUUGUGGAAGGAAGACAACAGUAUAGGACCAUCAGCAGGACCGGACAGAGAGGGGCACGUAAGCAGUAAUUACUGGAUGGCAUAGUAAUUCUACUAAAAAUUAAAAUGCCACUUAUUGGAAUGGUGUGUGAACACUCUAAAGCAACCCGGGAAGAAGACAGCAGUCAAGAAGACCAAGGAAGGAAAUGGAGGAGGGAUGACCCCACCAUUACAGGCAGGGAAGGACUGACCAAAGAGACAGAAAUGUAGUCUAGGAAAUGUGUCAUCUUAGAAAGGAACGGGAAGGGGCUGGAGAGGUGGCUCAGAAGUAAAGAGCAGUGGAUGCUCUUUCAGGGGACCUGAGUUGGCCUCCUAAUGUCUUCAGGUACCUCCUAACUGCAUGUAACUCCAGCUCCGGGAGAUUCUGGAUUCUUCUGGUCUCCACGGCACUGCGUUCACGCGCACGCGCGCGCGCACACACACACACACACACACACACACACAAAUUAAUCUUAGAAAAGCAUAGGAAGCCUGAUUUUUUGUUUGUUUGUUUGUUUUGGGGUUUUUUUUUUGUUUGUUUUGUUUUGUUUUUGAGACAGGGUUUCUCUGUAUAGCCCUGGCUGUCCUGGAACUUGUAGACCAGGCUGGCCUUGAACUCAGAAAUCCGCCUGCCUCUGACUCCCGAGUGCUGAGAUUAAAGGUGUGCACCACCACACCCGACAAGGAAGCCUGUUUUAAGAAGUGAUUCCAUGGAGGAGUUCUGCGGCGGCUCAGGGCUUGACUAAACAGUGGACCUCAGACAAGAGAGGCUAAACCAGGCUGCAGGUGACAGGAAGAAUUGAAUAAACUGAAAGCAAAGGGCAGCCUUCUAAUUACGCUUCGUGGCUAUGUGGACAACCUGGAGAAGUCUGGAAACGUGAGUGGUGCUAAUCCCCUUUGUAAUGAAAGGCCCGGGUAAAAACAGAUGGGGCAAGUAGGUGUAAUGGGUAUUUCAGGAGCUUGAAUCUGAUGUCACAGCUUGUCUGGAUGGGACGUGCAUCUACUUGCAGAGCUAUGUUCCCAUCUAGUGUAAUUGUGGGUGUUUUAAUUCAGGCGUCACCUCUAUUUUGUCCUCUCUCCACAGCUUUCCUCCUCCAUUUUACUACUUGAGGGAGCAGUGGGUGGGAUACUAGGCAAGUAGCUGCAAUGGCUGGUGCUUUAUGGUUCCCUGGCAUCCCCUGAAUCUGUUAACAUCCCAACCUUCUUGACAGCCAGCCCCACCCCAUCACAUUCUUACUCCUUCCCUUUCCAAGAAAGAAGCCAGAAGCCCGAAGCCAGCAGUAGAGCUCUGACUGGCUUGUAUGCCUAGAAAGGAAGGGCUCUUCUUUCGCCUCACGGGCACAAAUGGGACCCACGAGCGCCGAUUUCAGACUAUUCUGAUCCCUUCAAAAAGAAAGUUAGGAGUCCAGGCUACUGUGAGUGAAUUUGAUUCUAAUUGUUUCAGAGAAUAUGGAAUAAAAUAUCUCAUUUGCAGUUGUUUA
Molecule: long non-coding RNA, 2435 nt
Filed under: Mus musculus (house mouse)
Lineage: Eukaryota; Metazoa; Chordata; Mammalia; Rodentia; Muridae
Description: predicted gene 20544
Source: RNAcentral